UUGAUUCAUUUGCUUGUUUUCACUCAGAGCAAUGCAUCCUGCAAAUACAAGAGUUUGGGUCCUCCGGCGGGCGCCGGGGGCGGUCCGCCGAGGCAACGACGCUGUAAGGUUCACAGUGGGUUUGGGAGUUGUAAACUCUGUAAUGAUCCCUCCGCUGGUUCACCAACGGAGA
Molecule: unclassified non-coding RNA, 172 nt
Filed under: uncultured fungus
Lineage: Eukaryota; Fungi
Description: sequence contains ITS1
Source: RNAcentral